This 1972-nucleotide long non-coding RNA is filed under the name Malus domestica (apple). RNAcentral's name for it is "long non-coding RNA (MDOM_LNC011369)". The record is from RNAcentral. Lineage: Eukaryota; Viridiplantae; Streptophyta; Magnoliopsida; Rosales; Rosaceae.
AAUAAUUAAAAACCAUAUUACUAGUGUGCACUUCGAAACAGAAAGUGGUAGGAGUUAAGUACAACAGUAACACUCCUAAUCAGAGCAUAAAGUCUAGGUGCAGUCCAGUCGGACAAGUACUAAUUAUACAGUACCAGGAAUGUCCUACUCUUAUAAGAAUAAGUCAGAACUGCCGACGUCCUCUCUAGCCACUAACAUCAAUCUUACUUAAAACCUGGAGGGGCGCAAAACAGAAAACGUGAGUGGGUAAAAACAAAUGUUUUACAAAAUCAUUUCAUUUAUCAACAUACUAACCCUUCUCUGUAAAACAUAUAUUAAUUUCCCAGAAUCAAGAUGUAAGCAUAUACACAUAUAUAAAUAUCUGACAUCAUAACCAUUCAAUUCAUGCUUCACAUAAUCAUUUUCAUAUGUAUGCCAUGCCAAAAUAUAAUAAGUAACAAUCCAGGUAAUAAUGAUUUCAUAGAAGUAUGACAUGUUAGCCGGAACUCUUGAGUAGUCUGUACGGCUGAAUUCAUAGCUCAAACUCAAUCUAGCCGGAGUCACUACUAUGACCUAUAUGGCAAUAUACUGCACAUAAGUCGGAACCACUAAAAAGGGGUCUGUACGACAAGAUUUGGGUGAGAUACAGUUAUGCUCAAUUCUAAUUUCUCAAUACUAGCUGUGCGAUAAUACGUUAGUCACCUACGAGUCGGAACCACCUAUAGUGGUCUGUACAACAAGACUGUGCACCUAAAUUGGAUCCAAUGUGAGCAUAUGGUGCGGGAGGUGACAUAAUAUACAGGCUUGUGCCAACUCUCUCUGGCUAAAUCGCAAUCACUCGAGGUGCAGGUUUAUGAGCUCAUUGUUUCUUAGUCACAUCUCAUAUAUCCAACCAACCAUGUUUAUCACGCUACUCAGUUCUUCAAAUAAACUUAUAUCUCAAUUAUUUCAUGUCAUAUAUUGUAAGGUUGCACCUAACAUUUUGUUAGACUGCCUACGUACCCCAAACAGGGAUCAAGCCGUUCAUAGUUCACAUAUACCAAACGUAACUUACUUGUGCCUCCACAGCACCACAAUUAUAUAUAUAUGCAACCAUGAAAUGCAUAUUCAAAAUAUAAUGGCAUUUGGCAUAUUAUUUCAAAGCAUAUUUUCAUUUAAAACACAUUUUUGGGAAUUAUAUCAAGUAUAUAAUUAUAUACUGAAAACAAAAGCCCACUCACUGAUAAGUCGAAUGGUCGUAACCCCUGAUUCGCCUGUGGAUACGCUCGUCCUCGAGAUAAGUCUCACCUAUAUGCAAAUAAACUAUAAAAACAUUAUUUUAAAACACAUAGGCAAAACUAGCUAAUAACUUCUCAUACAUUGCUCAAUUUGGGUAUAUGAAUAUACGAUAGUGACCUACUCGACGUCACGGACGUCGAGAUAUUUUUUAAAUAAUUUUUCAUCGUCGCAUGUGCCCCCACACGCCGGGAGGGGUACGGUGCUACGCGCCCCCACGCGCAUCAUCCCUACCUCUAGACGCCGGAAAAUCUCGCUGACGCCUGAAACUGGGCAAACCUGUAAAUGCCGAUUUCUCACUCGUUUCUACACCGUUUUCCACGAAAUUUUCACCAAAAAUUCACAAAUUUUGAGAGGAAGAAGGCUAUACCUUUUAAAACUUCCAAAUCAUUCGAAAACUCGUCGGGAUAAUUUCGCCAGAACCGACCACCUUCAAACUAGGGCUUCCCGACGUCCAAAACUUCCAAACGAACGUCCCUGAGCUUUGUGGGAACCUCCUAGAGCUCACUGUGAGCUUGGAUUGUCCUAAAAACCAACCAUUACAAAGUUCGUGAACAAUGCUAAAUUCGGAGUUUGAUAUUUCGACGUGAAAUUGAAAGGUUUCUUACCUGAAAAUGAUACCCCUCGACUCGCCACACCAUGAGGAAUACAAUGGUACCUUCAACACCUUCAAUCUAUGAAAAUUUAAGGGUCUUUGGGUGUGGUCCGUACGUGAGGG